RNAcentral lists this long non-coding RNA (1146 nucleotides) under Nicotiana benthamiana. RNAcentral describes it as "long non-coding RNA (NBEN_LNC004810)". Lineage: Eukaryota; Viridiplantae; Streptophyta; Magnoliopsida; Solanales; Solanaceae. The record is from RNAcentral.
CACACUACUCAAGGUACUUCUGCUUCCAAAUUGCAAGCAUAUGUAAAGCCCCCUUCAGGUGAUAGUCUGGCAGCUGGAACUAAAAAACAAGUGCGAGCACCAAAAGAAAGUAAAGCCUCAAGUAAGCAGGAAAGUCAGAGCACAGUUGGGACAUCAAAUGGACGAAACAUACAAAGAGGAAGUCAAGGAAACUCUAUGACAACAACUACACCUCAACCCCAAGCAAGUCAAAAAAACUCUAGAAAGAAAAAAUCUGACAAAGUUGUUUCGCUUGCUGAGGCUGCAAAAGGGUCCAUUGUAUAUCAACAGGGGAAGCCAUGCUCAUGCCAAGCCCGUCGACACAGGCUGAUUAGCAAUUGUUUAUCUUGUGGAAAAAUAGUCUGUGAACAGGAAGGUGAAGGGCCUUGUAACUUUUGUGGUGCACUUGUGCUAAGGGAAGGAAGCUCGUAUGCUGGAUUAAAUGAAGGCCCGGUUCCAAUUUCCGAUGCUGAGGCAGAAGCUGAAGCCUAUGCAAAGAGGCUAGUUGACUAUGAUCGGAACUCUGCAGCACGUACGACUGUUAUCGAUGACCAAAGUGACUACUAUGAGUUUGAGGGAAAUAGCUGGUUGUCGAAGGAGGUACAGUGCACGUUUGUGAGAACAUUUCACUUUGCAAGACUUGGCUUCUAUGAUAACACUGACUUUGCAUUUACUGACAUAUUUUCUUUCUGAAUCUUCUAUAGAAUAUCAUAGGUCAGGAAGCUGGAAGAAGUGUGACGAAUGAAUAUUUGAGACGGAGAGGUCAUUCAGAUAUAUACCACACUACUCAAGGUACUUCUGCUUCCAAAUUGCAAGCAUAUGUAAAGCCCCCUUCAGGUGAUAGUCUGGCAGCUGGAACUAAAAAACAAGUGCGAGCACCAAAAGAAAGUAAAGCCUCAAGUAAGCAGGAAAGUCAGAGCACAGUUGGGACAUCAAAUGGACGAAACAUACAAAGAGGAAGUCAAGGAAACUCUAUGACAACAACUACACCUCAACCCCAAGCAAGUCAAAAAAACUCUAGAAAGAAAAAAUCUGACAAAGUUGUUUCGCUUGCUGAGGCUGCAAAAGGGUCCAUUGUAUAUCAACAGGGGAAGCCAUGCUCAUGCCAAGCCCGUCGACACAGGCUGA